This 332-nucleotide ribosomal RNA is filed under the name uncultured eukaryote. Its description in RNAcentral is "partial 18S ribosomal RNA". It matches the Rfam family "Eukaryotic small subunit ribosomal RNA", at positions 1470 to 1796 of the family's 1831-position model. The record is from RNAcentral.
CCCUUAGAUGUUCUGGGCUGCACACGUGCUACACUGGCAGGUUCAGCGAGCUUCAUGCCCUGAUCUGAAAGGAAUGGGAAAUCUUUUCAAAACCUGCCGUGCUUGGGAUAGAUGUUUGCAAUUAUUCAUCUUCAACGAGGAUUGCCUUGUAAGCGCACGUCAUCAGCGUGCAUUGAAUACGACCCUGUAUUCUGUACACACCGCCCGUCGCUCCUACCGAUUGAAGUUUUCGGUGAGUUGACAGGAGGAUUUUUUUGAAACUGGUUCGCCAGAGGAUUUUAGAUCCAAAUGCCAACGAAUCGAUGGCUUUAGAGGAAGGAGAAGUCGUAACA